GUAGCGCAGCUUGGUAGCGUAUCUGGUUUGGGACCAGGUGGUCGAAGGUUCAAAUCCUUUC
RNAcentral lists this transfer RNA (61 nucleotides) under Gammaproteobacteria bacterium. RNAcentral describes it as "tRNA-Pro". It matches the Rfam family "tRNA", at positions 7 to 64 of the family's 71-position model. From Rfam's summary of the family: Transfer RNA (tRNA) molecules are approximately 80 nucleotides in length. Their secondary structure includes four short double-helical elements and three loops (D, anti-codon, and T loops). Further hydrogen bonds mediate the characteristic L-shaped molecular structure. tRNAs have two regions of fundamental functional importance: the anti-codon, which is responsible for specific mRNA codon recognition, and the 3' end, to which the tRNAs corresponding amino acid is attached (by aminoacyl-tRNA synthetases). tRNAs cope with the degeneracy of the genetic code in two manners: having more than one tRNA (with a specific anti-codon) for a particular amino acid; and 'wobble' base-pairing, i.e. permitting non-standard base-pairing at the 3rd anti-codon position. Lineage: Bacteria; Pseudomonadati; Pseudomonadota; Gammaproteobacteria. The record is from RNAcentral.